This 446-nucleotide ribosomal RNA is filed under the name uncultured bacterium. Its description in RNAcentral is "partial 16S ribosomal RNA". It matches the Rfam family "Bacterial small subunit ribosomal RNA", at positions 338 to 795 of the family's 1533-position model. The record is from RNAcentral.
CCUACGGGUGGCUGCAGUCGAGAAUCAUUCACAAUGGGGGAAACCCUGAUGGUGCGACGCCGCGUGGGGGAAUGAAGGUCUUCGGAUUGUAAACCCCUGUCAUGUGGGAGCAAAUUAAAAAGAUAGUACCACAAGAGGAAGAGACGGCUAACUCUGUGCCAGCAGCCGCGGUAAUACAGAGGUCUCAAGCGUUGUUCGGAAUCACUGGGCGUAAGGCGUGCGUAGGCUGUUUCGUAAGUCGUGUGUGAAAGGCGCGGGCUCAACCCGCGGACGGCACAUGAUACUGCGAGACUAGAGUAAUGGAGGGGGAACCGGAAUUCUCGGUGUAGCAGUGAAAUGCGUAGAUAUCGAGAGGAACACUCGUGGCGAAGGCGGGUUCCUGGACAUUAACUGACGCUGAGGCACGAAGGCCAAGGGAGCGAAAGGGAUUAGAUACCCCGGUAGUC